Molecule: long non-coding RNA, 586 nt
Organism: Fukomys damarensis (Damara mole-rat)
Lineage: Eukaryota; Metazoa; Chordata; Mammalia; Rodentia; Bathyergidae
Exons: 4
Source: RefSeq, a predicted model, not a curated record
CCUUGAAGACUGUAAAGUCACAAAGCCCAUAGUAUUUCAGGGAUGCGUUGUCUAACCUGGAGGAAAGAAGUCUCAUCUUUGCCACACAGAGGGAAAAGGAUCCUGAGCUCAAGAGACCUUCACGGAAUAGGAAAGGCAAGAAUGCUGUAGACAACAUUAUGAAAAAGCUGAAGCCUCAUCUCAUCAUGGCUAUUUACUUGUCUUAGAUUGUAAAUGAAGACAAAGUGGAGAAUGUCAAGCCUACUCUACAGAUCCCCCAAAAGACAUACUAAAGCACUUCUGAUGACCCAUCGAACUUAAUUAUUUCAUGAGCGCCUAUCACUUGCAAGUUCUUCUGUUAAUUGAGGAUGGAUGGGAGGACGAAUAACUUAGGGUCCCUGCUGUCCAGAAAUUUCACAGGGUAGAUAAUGAAUAGUACAUAGGAAUGGAACAGAUAGUUUGGUCUGCAACUGUUUGCAUGGUAGCUAAGUUCUUGGGUGUAAGACAGAUCCUAUUCCAAUCUCAAUUCUACUGGCUACUUUCUGGGUGUGUAUGGGCAAGUGAACCUCAUUUUUCUUAUCUAUAAAUGAGGAGGAUGGUGACAAUA